RNAcentral lists this small RNA (3233 nucleotides) under Pan troglodytes (chimpanzee). RNAcentral describes it as "retained intron". The record is from RNAcentral. Lineage: Eukaryota; Metazoa; Chordata; Mammalia; Primates; Hominidae.
AGGUGGUCCUGAGGCCGUCACAGAGGCCGUCUGGGGGCCAGCAUGGGCCAGCCGGGUCAGGGUCGGUGCACCGAGAGGAGAGUGAUGUCUGUGACCGGCUGUGCCUGGCCAUCGGGGGCCGGUGCGUCAGGGAGGGACGCUGGUUGGAAGGAAGCUGCCAAGUUCACUGGAGCGUGUGCUUGAGUGCCUGGGGUCUGGGGUCUGCAGAGUGCGCAGGGGAGGCCCUGGUGGGGAUGGGGCCCCAGGGGAAGGCGUGUUCGGGGAGGAGACCGCUUCAUGACGAGACCCUAGGGGAGGCUCCCAAGAAGGCAGAUGUGAGCGCCAGGCCCUUUCACAAGAAGGCUCCAAAAUGAGCCCUGGGAUCUCAGGUUUCUUCCGGCCCCACCCAAGCCCCAGCUGUGUGGUCUCAGGGGAACCCAGGGGCCUUCUGGGAACACUGGGCUUUCUCUGUCAGCCUCCACGACACUUCCCUAAGGAAGAGCGGCCCCAGGCCUUUGUGCAUCUCGGAGCCAUGGGGGAGGGGGCUUUUUGGCUAAACGGCGCUUCCUUCCCACCACGAGGAGCCUGGCGUCUGUGUUUUCUGUCUCCCACAGGGAUGCUGAUGCCCCCUUUCAUCCCAGACUCCAAAACUGUCUACGCGAAGGAUAUUCAGGACGUGGGUGCCUUUUCCACCGUCAAAGGUGUGGCCUUUGACAAAACAGACACAGAAUUCUUUCAGGAAUUUGCCACUGGCAACUGCCCCAUCCCCUGGCAGGAGGAGAUGAUCGAGACGGGCAUCUUCGGCGAGCUGAACGUGUGGCGCUCGGACGGUCAGAUGCCGGACGACAUGAAGGGCAUCUCCGGGGGCUCCAGCUCCUCGUCCAAGUCAGGGAUGUGUCUGGUUUCCUAGGUGACGCCCCGGAGUCCACCUGGAGGAAAAGGACCCACAGGGCUCGGUGGGGGCCGCCUGCCUCCGUGGUGCCAGCCUGGGGUCUGCUAGCAAGGGGACACGUGGUUCCCUCCACCCAGGUCCCCAUCACGCCAUCUCCUCGCGGCCCAAGGAGGAGAAAGCCCGCGUCGGCCUGAGCCGCCAGACGCACACGCUGGUGCCGUGAGCCCCCGACUGCAUAUUUCACGUCUUUUGCUCCAUCUCACUGAGAAGACAUAAGAUGCUCUCCAGAGGGAGUAAGCCAAAAAUCUACAAACUCUUAGGGAGCCUCCUGCAUUGGCGAUUGACCAACCGUGUCGUCAGGGGCAGAGACUCGGCUUGGGCCUCCCAAGACCUUAGCCGUUGGCUUCCCAGAUUCCCAGAGCCACGCUCCUCAGCGGGAGGUGCACGGUGGCCAGGUCAGGGGUUAGUGAACCCUGGUCGCAGCCCCUGGCCCCACUGGGGAGGGCUGGACCUCGGCGCCCUCCAGGUCCCUCUGUGCAGGCUCCUGCCUUCCAGGGUGCCCGGGCCCUGUGCUGGUGGCCUGCACGCCACGUGGUCCCCUGCACCCUGCAGCGCCGUGGUCCUCUGCACACUGGGGCACCACGGUCCCCUGCACUCCGAGGUGCCGUGGUCCACAUCUGCCAGGUGCAGGCUCUGUUGGGCUUUUGGGAGGAGGGGAGCGGGUGUGGAGUCUGGGGGUCUCAGUGCAUCUUGGGGUCUCCUUAUCUCAGGGUGUCCAGCUGACGGCAGCUGGUGCAAAGUUCCCACCCCUGAGCCGGGGGGCUGAAAAUGUUUUCUGUCUUGACCCUGAGUCCCGGAAUCACCUCAGCUGCUCUUGGCGGGCAAAGCCAGGACCGUUUGCUCUCUGACCCCUCCUCCCCACUGGGGCUGGUCCGUCUCAUCUCCCAGGGGACACUUCAGGCCACGGGCCUUGUGCAUAGGGACAGAGCUCCUUGCUGCAACCCCUCUCUGUGUUCCCAGUAGCAGCAGCGCUGGAGUCCUAAAGCCGUAGCCCGGGAAAACACUCACGGCCCACCUUCUCGUACAGCUCGGCCCCACCCACAAUGCACCUGGCAUUUCCAACUGCACUUUGAACACCGAAGGUUCCCCAAAUGCUUUGUGUGUUUUAACUGCAAGAAGUGAGUUCUGUUGCAACUGCCUCCAGGACACACUCCCUCUUGAGCAGCCGGCUCAGAGGGAGUGCAUCCAAGGCGCAGGGAAGCAGUGGUGAUGGGCGGCCUGAGGACUCCUUUCCAGAGAGGGCCUCUGAGCUCCUUUUAGGAAAGAACUUCCUUUGAGCCCCGGCCACUGUUGUACCAGUGGGAGAAGAAGCCUGACCCUGCCACAUGUGGUCACGGGGAGAGAAGAUGGUAGGACGUCCCCGUGAGCCUUGGGGCAGAGCUGGUGGUAGAAAGAAGCCCUGUCUACUCUAAUUUGGUGAGAGGGGCUGCGGCAAGUGGCUGAUGAUGUGACUGAUGGAGACAGGGUGGCUUGGGAAGGUCCCACUUGGGGGUGUCACGUCCUGCAGGGAGUGGAAGAGAUGGAUCCUCCUUAGCCUGGACUGGUGGGUCUCGGCCUCUCUCCCAGAAGUGGCAGAGACAGCUGCCUGAGAGUCAGUGCUGCAGUGGACAGGGCCUAUGCCCUCACAGUCCUCAGGCUGCCAGGUUGUCCUCUUCCUGUUGGGGAGAAGAGGACCCUGGCAAUCCACAAUUUUGGAGAUUUGCUGGCUGCAGCCAAAAUGGGGACCCAACUCCCUCCUAUGUGGUUUUAGAGCUUUUGGAGGGAAGAUAGGCCACGCCCCUGGGUGAGGAGCACAUGUUCCCACAGAUCCCACGUCAGCCACACCCUGGGUGAGGAGCACAUGUUCCCAAGAUCCCACGUCGGCCACACCCUGGGUGAGGAGCACAUGUUCCCACAGAUCCCACGUCGCCACACCCUGGGUGAGGAGCACAUGUUCCCACAGAUCCCACGUCGGCCACACCCUGGGUGAGGAGCACAUGUUCCCACAGAUCCCACGUCGCCACACCCUGGGUGAGGAGCACAUGUUCCCACAGAUCCCACGUCAGCCACACCCUGGGUGAGGAGCACAUGUUCCCACAGAUCCCACGUCGGCCACACCCUGGGUGAGAAGCACAUGUUCCCACAGAUCCCACGUCGGCCACACCCUGGGUGAGGAGCACGUCUUCCCACAGAUCUCAACAGAACUCCACAUCGUCUGGUUUUGUGGAGACUUUCAUGUGUCCUGUCAAGGUGCCUCAUGCACCUGCAGACUGUUCUUGGGAAGGAAAUCUGGACUGCAAAAUAAACCUCCCGGCCUCCUCCU